Molecule: long non-coding RNA, 1273 nt
Organism: Corvus hawaiiensis (hawaiian crow)
Lineage: Eukaryota; Metazoa; Chordata; Aves; Passeriformes; Corvidae
Exons: 4
Source: RefSeq, a predicted model, not a curated record
AGUGUAGGUGUGUGGGAAGGAGGGAGUUGUCAUUGUGAAGAAUUGUUCAGGAGAGUGGGGAAUUACUCAUUUCCUAGUUUACUGGUGAGGAUCUGCCUUAUGUAUUGCUACACCUAGGAUGUAUUUUUAACUGUCCUGUGGUAGCUAUAGCAUACGUACAGAUGGACCUACUGAAGGAUAGAUAAAACAUACUACGAAUUACAUAGACUGUGCACAGGGAUACUAGGAAUGUGGCUGGCUGUAGAAGUACCUAGCUCUUGCAGUCACUCAUGUUUUAAAUUGAGACAAUACUAGAUAGUCUGGUUUCUUUUUUGUCUUUUUUUUCUUCCUUUGUUUGCCUAUACGCUUGUAAAGGAUAGGCUGAAAUCAGGACUCACGUAGCAGAGGUAUUCACAAAGUGGGUUGCUUCUGAGGCCAGACCAGUCCCAUCUGUAAAGGACAAAGGCUGCUCACUGCAUGGUUGUUCAGAGCUAUUCAAGGAUGGAAAACGCAAGGAAUCGUAGAGUCUGCCUUUCAGAUAAACCUUAUCCCUGCAAGUGUACUGGUACUUGAAAAAGAGUCCUUGAAUAACCUGCACAGAAGCUGAACCGCCAAAGAGGUGCUACUUUGGAAAAGCAAGAAGAGGAAGGUACCUGAAGCAGUGCAGAGGAAACACUUCUGAACAUUAACACACCACAUGCCCUCAUGCAGAGUCAUCUGAGCUGCUGUCCCACAUGGUUUUCCUGGAGUGCAUGUUUUUCACACCAGGUAUUUGUAGUUCUCCUAUAGUGCACACCCCACGGAUACAAACACAGGCAGGUCUUUUGAAGAACAGCAGUCACUGCUCGUCAAAGGAAAGAAAAAGAAGCCUUUGCAGAACCUGAAGAUAUUGGAAUACAUUCUGCAAUUUCCUGGACUUUAUGCUGCCUCUUGUAAGUGUUAUGAUAUUAUUUCCAGUCCCUAGAAAACAGAACUGUACAAUAGAUGAUGACUGUGGGAUUUCUGUUAUCUUGGAGCAAAUACGGGGUUUAUGCUUUCCCUCCUAUUAAGGUAUUUUAGAAAAUGAAACACAGAAAAAGCAAGAUCUUGCUCAGUUAGUGUGAGGGCUAUCUAUUCUUGUACUUCAAGAACAUGGUUUAGAAAUGGAAUCUCUUACUGCCUCUGCCCAGACAGCAUUCUCAUCUUCCAGAAUGAUACACUGGUGAAAUGAAGACCUGGAGCCAGGUUUGCCUCAAAAGAACACAGAAAAUACUGUAGGUUUAUGGACAAUAUUCCAUCAGAAAUCCUCAUAAAA